AUUGAACGCUGGCGGCAGGCCUAACACAUGCAAGUCGAGCGGAUGAAGGGAGCUUGCUCCUGGAUUCAGCGGCGGACGGGUGAGUAAUGCCUAGGAAUCUGCCUGGUAGUGGGGGAUAACGUCCGGAAACGGGCGCUAAUACCGCAUACGUCCUGAGGGAGAAAGUGGGGGAUCUUCGGACCUCACGCUAUUAGAUGAGGCUAGGUCGGAUUAGCUAGUUGGUGGGGUAAAGGCCUACCAAGGCGACGAUCCGUAACUGGUCUGAGAGGAUGAUCAGUCACACUGGAACUGAGACACGGUCCAGACUCCUACGGGAGGCAGCAGUGGGGAAUAUUGGACAAUGGGCGAAAGCCUGAUCCAGCCAUGCCGCGUGUGUGAAGAAGGUCUUCGGAUUGUAAAGCACUUUAAGUUGGGAGGAAGGACAGUAAGUUAAUACCUUGCUGUUUUGACGUUACCAACAGAAUAAGCACCGGCUAACUUCGUG
This 484-nucleotide ribosomal RNA is filed under the name uncultured bacterium. RNAcentral describes it as "partial 16S ribosomal RNA". It matches the Rfam family "Bacterial small subunit ribosomal RNA", at positions 30 to 507 of the family's 1533-position model. The record is from RNAcentral.